UGCGGAGGGUGCAAGCGUUAUCCGGAUUCACUGGGCUUAAAGGGUGCGUAGGCGGGCAGGUAAGUCAGUGGUGAAAUCUCCGGGCUCAACCCGGAAACUGCCGUUGAUACUAUCGGUCUUGAAUACCGUUGAGGUGAGCGGAAUAUGUCAUGUAGCGGUGAAAUGCUUAGAUAUCAAGAGGAAAACCUGAGGUGAAGACGGGUGGCUGGGCUGACACUGACGCUGAUAGCGCGAAAGCCAGGGGAGCAAACGGG
RNAcentral lists this ribosomal RNA (254 nucleotides) under uncultured bacterium. Its description in RNAcentral is "partial 16S ribosomal RNA". It matches the Rfam family "Bacterial small subunit ribosomal RNA", at positions 524 to 776 of the family's 1533-position model. The record is from RNAcentral.